This 384-nucleotide unclassified non-coding RNA is filed under the name uncultured Phycisphaeraceae bacterium. Its description in RNAcentral is "contains 16S-23S intergenic spacer region". Lineage: Bacteria; Pseudomonadati; Planctomycetota; Phycisphaerae; Phycisphaerales; Phycisphaeraceae. The record is from RNAcentral.
UCCGGUUUGACACCGGCAGUCUCGUUAGAGUCCUCAGCAUUACCUGGUAGCAACUAACGAUAGGGGUUUCGCUCGUUAAGGGACUUAACCCGACACUUCACAGCACGAGCUGACGACAGCCAUGCAGCACCUGUGUACGUUCCACGGAAACCGCGUCAUCCCGCUUUCACGGGACUAAUCCGUACAUGUCAAGUCUUGGAUAAGGUUCUUCGCGUUGCUUCGAAUUAAGCCACAUGCUCCACCGCUUGUGUGAGCCCCCGUCAAUUCCUUUGAGUUUUAGCCUUGCGACCGUACUCCCCAGGCGGCGCACUUACACUUUUGCUUCGAUCCAGAUGGCGUCAGAGCCUCCUGGAUCUAGUGCGCAUCGUUUAGGGCGUGGACUAC